This 164-nucleotide ribosomal RNA is filed under the name Phenakospermum guyannense. RNAcentral describes it as "5.8S ribosomal RNA". It matches the Rfam family "5.8S ribosomal RNA". From Rfam's summary of the family: 5.8S ribosomal RNA (5.8S rRNA) is a component of the large subunit of the eukaryotic ribosome. Lineage: Eukaryota; Viridiplantae; Streptophyta; Magnoliopsida; Zingiberales; Strelitziaceae. The record is from RNAcentral.
CAGACGACUCUCGGCAACAGAUAUUUAGGCUAUCGUAUCAAUGAAGAACGUAGCGAAAUGUGAUACCUGGUGUGAAUUGCAGAAUCCCGUGAACCAUCGAGUCUUUGAACGCAAGUUGCGCCCAAGGCCAUCCGGGCGAGUGCACGCCUGCUUGGGUGUCAUGC